CCUACGGGUCGCAGCAGUGGGGAAUAUUGCUCAAUGGGCGCAAGCCUGAUGCAGCCAUGCCGCGUGUAUGAAGAAGGCCCUAGGGUUGUAAAGUACUUUCAGUCGGGAGGAAGGCGUUGAUGCUAAUAUCAUUAACGAUUGACGUUACCGACAGAAGGAGCACCGGCUAACUCCGUGCCAGCAGCCGCGGUAAUACGGAGGGUGCAAGCGUUAAUCGGAAUUACUGGGCGUAAAGCGCACGCAGGCGGUUGAUUAAGUUAGAUGUGAAAUCCCCGGGCUUAACCUGGGAAUGGCAUCUAAGACUGGUCAGCUAGAGUCUUGUAGAGGGGGGUGGAAUUCCAUGUGUAGCGGUGAAAUGCGUAGAGAUGUGGAGGAAUACCGGUGGCGAAGGCGGCCCCCUGGACAAAGACUGACGCUCAGGUGCGAAGCGUGGGGAGCAAACAGGAUUAGAUACCCUCGUAGUC
RNAcentral lists this ribosomal RNA (464 nucleotides) under uncultured bacterium. Its description in RNAcentral is "bacterial SSU rRNA". It matches the Rfam family "Bacterial small subunit ribosomal RNA", at positions 338 to 795 of the family's 1533-position model. The record is from RNAcentral.